AUAGAUACCCGGGUACGUCCACGCCGUAAACGAAUGAGUGCUAAGUGGUUAGUAGGGUUUUCCGCCCUUUUAGUGCUGCAGCUAACGACAUUAACGCACGUCCGCCGUGGGGAGUAACGGUCGACAAGAACUAGUAAACUCGAAACGGAAUUGAACGGGGGCCCGCACAAGCGGUGGUAGCAUUGUGGUUUAAUUCGAAGCAACGCGUAAGGAACCUUACCAGGUCUUGACAGUACCUCUGACAACUCUAGAGAGUAGAGCGUUCCCCUUCGGGGGACAGGAGUGACAGGUGGUGCAUGGUUGUCGUCAGCUCGUGUCGUUGAGAUGUUGGGUUAAGUCCCGCGUAACGAGCGCAACCCUUGAUCUUAGUUGGCCUAGCGAUUUACGUUGGGCACUUCGUAAGGUGACGUGCCGGUGACAAACCGGAGGUAACGGUGGGGUAUCGGAACGUCAAACUCGAUCAUGCCCCUUAUGACCUGGGCUACGACACGGUGCUACGAAUGGAUGGUACAAGGGCUGCAAAGCCGCGAGGUCAAGUCCGAAUCCCAUAAACCAUUCGUCAGUUCGGAUUCGUAGG
RNAcentral lists this ribosomal RNA (577 nucleotides) under uncultured bacterium. RNAcentral's name for it is "bacterial SSU rRNA". It matches the Rfam family "Bacterial small subunit ribosomal RNA", at positions 778 to 1305 of the family's 1533-position model. The record is from RNAcentral.